GACGAACGCUGGCGGCGUGCUUAACACAUGCAAGUCGAACGGUGAAGCGCCUUCCUUUUUGGUGGGUGUGGAUGAGUGGCGAACGGGUGAGUAACACGUGAGUAACCUGCCCCCUUCUUCUGGAUAACCGCAUGAAAGUGUGGCUAAUACGGGAUAUUCUGGGUCUGUCGCAUGAUGGGUCUGGGAAAGAUAUUGUUUCGGUGGGGGAUGGGCUCGCGGCCUAUCAGCUUGUUGGUGGGGUGAUGGCCUACCAAGGCGGUGACGGGUAGCCGGCCUGAGAGGGUGGACGGUCACACUGGGAAUGAGACACGGACAAGACUACUACGGGAGGCAGCAGUGGGGAAUAUUGCACAAUGGGCGCAAGCCUGAUGCAGCGACGCCGCGUGAGGGAUGGAGGCCUGCGGGUUGUGAACCUCUUUCGCCAGUGAAGCAGGCCUGCCUCGUUUGUGGGUGGGUUGACGGUAGCUGGAUAAGAAGCGCCGGCUAACUACGUG
Molecule: ribosomal RNA, 494 nt
Filed under: uncultured bacterium
Lineage: Bacteria
Description: partial 16S ribosomal RNA
Rfam family: Bacterial small subunit ribosomal RNA
Source: RNAcentral